This 66-nucleotide transfer RNA is filed under the name Euprymna brenneri. RNAcentral describes it as "tRNA-Phe". Lineage: Eukaryota; Metazoa; Mollusca; Cephalopoda; Sepiida; Sepiolidae. The record is from RNAcentral.
AUUUAAAUAGCUUAGAUUAGAGCGUGACGUUGAAGUUGUUGAGGUGAUUAUUUUAAUCUUUAAAUA